Long non-coding RNA from Pistacia vera, 248 nucleotides. RefSeq lists it as uncharacterized. The record is from RefSeq and is a predicted model, not a curated record. NCBI's taxonomy places the organism in Eukaryota, Viridiplantae, Streptophyta, Magnoliopsida, Sapindales, Anacardiaceae. The transcript has 3 exons.
CCCUCCUUACCAUCGAGAACCCCACCUUCAAUCCGAAUUUGGCAGGCGGGUUCGUGGUGGCAUUUGCCGGAAGAAAGUAUGCAGCAAGAUCAGUUCCACAGAUGAUUUCCGACAAUGAUAACACAGUUACUACUUUAACAUUGGUCCUGGAAUUCCAUGAGGGUACUCUGCAGAACUUGCAUUGGAAAAGCUUCGGCUGCGAUUCGUGCGGCGGAGAUGCCGGUGUCUGCCUCAACAACACGGUGUGU